AUGCGAUAAGUAAUGUGAAUUGCAGAAUUCAGUGAAUCAUCGAAUCUUUGAACGCACAUUGCGCCCGCCAGUAUUCUGGCGGGCAUGCCUGUUCGAGCGUCAUUUCAACCCUCAAGCCCCCGGGCUUGGUGCUGGGGAUCGGCCGUCACGGGCCGGCCCCGAAAUCGAGUGGCGGUCUCGCUGUAGCCUCCUCUGCGUAGUAGCAACACCUCGCACUGGAACGCGGCGCGGCCACGCCGUAAAACCCCCAACUUCUGAAGGUUGACCUCGGAUCAGGUAGGAAUACCCGCUGAACUUAA
Molecule: unclassified non-coding RNA, 299 nt
Filed under: uncultured Paracremonium
Lineage: Eukaryota; Fungi; Ascomycota; Sordariomycetes; Hypocreales; Nectriaceae
Description: partial contains 5.8S ribosomal RNA, internal transcribed spacer 2, and large subunit ribosomal RNA
Rfam family: 5.8S ribosomal RNA (bases 1-102)
Source: RNAcentral